Molecule: ribosomal RNA, 984 nt
Filed under: Triticum aestivum (bread wheat)
Lineage: Eukaryota; Viridiplantae; Streptophyta; Magnoliopsida; Poales; Poaceae
Description: partial small subunit ribosomal RNA
Source: RNAcentral
AUGGAUACGAGCUGCGGGGCGGAGAACUUGAAGGGGCUGACCGGCCUGUCACCGUUUCCGCUGGAUCCAAGCCUCGCUCCGCUGCUGCUGUUCGACGACCAACAUGACGGCGAGACCAUAUUCCUGUAUAGCAUCCCUAAGAGGCAGUUACUGGGCAGGAGAGCCGAUGGUUUCAGAGGCCAUCGUUACUGGCUAACACCUCAAGGAUGGGUGCUCAUGCUGCAUCUCGAAUCGCACGACUCUUUCCUCUGGAACCCAUCAACUCUCGAGAGGAUCAGCUUACCUCCAGACCAAGAGAAUCUCCUUCAAGCCGCACAAAGCGUCAGGUGCCUUCUCUCGCUCAAGCCGACAGAUCCAGACUGCGUCGUGCUCGUAGCAGACCUCGCGCACGCACUCAUCUACUACUGCCAUGCAGGAGGAAACCAAUGGUUCGAGCACGAGCACGAGCAUGGGAAAAGCUUCAAUGAAGGUCUUACCACGCUUGGUGGCAAGUUCUACGCAUACGACCUGUAUCACGACGAGCACGAUCAGAUUGUCACACUAGCGUUCUUACCAUACCCAGCGUUCACCACGCACGGCUUGCUGCAACAACGUUUCCCAAUCGGGUAUACCAGGUUUCAUUGCGGCAUCUUAGAGUGCCGCGGAGAGCUGUUUGUGCUAAGCUUUUGUUACCACGGGAUAUCUGUCCGGCAUAUCGCGCGAAUUGUUGUGCGCAAGUUGGAUGUCUCCAAUGGAGCUUGGCUCAAGGUGGACACGCUCGGCGACAUGCUGAUUUUCUACGAUAGUUGCCGCGGUUAUGGAGCGUCGUUGGAUGCACUCCAGCUCGGUCUAAGGAAACGGGACUGCAUAUACUUUUUGAUGCCCGAUGACAAGGCGUUGUACGUUUAUGAUAUGAAACGAGGAACAACUGCUAUGCACAAUCUUGGACCCAGCCUUCGAGAUUCUCUUGUGCCUCAGUUUUUAUUGCCUUUGGCUUCGAUUUGA